This 139-nucleotide ribosomal RNA is filed under the name uncultured bacterium. RNAcentral's name for it is "partial 16S rRNA". It matches the Rfam family "Bacterial small subunit ribosomal RNA", at positions 355 to 511 of the family's 1533-position model. The record is from RNAcentral.
UGGGGAAUAUUGCACAAUGGGGGAAACCCUGAUGCAGCAACGCCGCGUGAGUGAUGAAGGUUUUCGGAUCGUAAAGCUCUGUCUUUGGGGAAGAUAAUGACGGUACCCAAGGAGGAAGCCACGGCUAACUACGUGCCNG